This 1407-nucleotide long non-coding RNA is filed under the name Papio anubis (olive baboon). RNAcentral describes it as "lncRNA (ENSPANG00000045322.1)". Lineage: Eukaryota; Metazoa; Chordata; Mammalia; Primates; Cercopithecidae. The record is from RNAcentral.
AGUUUGGCGUUGAAAUCAAUUACUAGUUUAUAUGGGUAUAUAGUUGGCUAUUUAUGUCCAAGUUCAGGAAAGACACUAGAUUUGAAGAAAAACAAUUAGUAGCCAAUAGCUUGUAGAUGACAUUUAAAGGCAUGGGACAGAAUGAGCUCAUCUGAGGAAAGAAGAUAGUUAAAGAACAGGGCCAAGGGCCAAGCUGUGGCCUUAAGCCAAUAUUUUGAGGUCAGGAAAAGAAGAAAUUCAACAUAAGGAAUGACAAUGAGCUAGGAAAAGCAGAAAGGAUGUGACCAACUGUGUUAAAUGCUGCCAAGAGGUAAAACAUGAUGAAGUCCAGUAAUUGACUGUAGGGUCUGGUAGGACAGAGGUCAUGGUUGCUGAUCUAAAAGAAAACUGUUUUGUAGCAAUACUGGAGAUGCAAGCCUCAGUAAAGUGAGCUGAAGGACAUAAACAUAACCAAUAAGAAAGAAGAGGUGUAGACAAUUGUUUCCAGGAGUAUAGCUUUAAAAGCAGAGAAAAAGAUAAGUUGGUAGAUGGUAUGUGGAAGACAUACUGUUGAGAGACUGAGUUUUAUUUCUUUGUUUUAUUGUUUCUUUUAGAAUGGCUGAUAUUAGACAUGCAUGUGCAUACAGCAAAGGGAGUAACCCAAUAGUGAGGAAGAAAUUGAUGCUGUAGGAGAGAGGGAAUAAUUGCCGAAGCAAAGAUCUUGAGGUACUGAGAAAGGAUGACCUUAAUUUCCUUAAUGAUGCAGCCUGCUUCCACCGAGGGACUGAAGGCUCUUUGAGCAAAAUUAUCUACCUGUUCACCUUUGGAUCUUUCACAGUUCCCAGGUGUCUUACUGGAAGGCUGUGGGCCGAUGCCAGGUGACAUGAUAGACAAUUACUGGACUAAUUUGCAAAGCGCAUUUCUGAAGUCACAUUUUUUGCUUGACAUGGAUUCCAUCUUCACAGAGAAGAUGUGGAAACUGAGACCCAGAGAAGUUCUCUUACCCGCCCAUGUUCACACAAUGAAAAUGACCUGAACCUGGACCCACUGGUUCCAAGUUUGGUGCUCUUUCCACCACCACAGGUGAGACAACUAGGUCCUGAGGGUUUAAAUGUGGAAUUUCUUUUUGAGCGAGAAGUCUCCUUCUACUUUAUAUAUGAUUUGAAUUUUAAAUGUUAUUUAUCUAUCAAUAAAACUAAUAUGGGGCUCUGUAAAUUUUCCUAACACCAAUUUCAUUUUAUGGAGUACACUGCAGCAGUCAUAAACUCAGGGUUCUAUUAUUUAAGUUAGUUAAGUUACUUUAAGAUUGUACAAAGAGGCCAAUUUUAUCACACGGUUACUGCUAUUUUGUCAUUUUAACAUAGACAGGUUAAUUUAAGAAAAGAAAGUAAUUUCAAAGGCAGUAAGCCACAAUGGUAUAGAAAAGGC